This is a long non-coding RNA of Passer domesticus (house sparrow), 544 nucleotides long. RefSeq lists it as uncharacterized. The transcript has 5 exons. NCBI's taxonomy places the organism in Eukaryota, Metazoa, Chordata, Aves, Passeriformes, Passeridae. The record is from RefSeq and is a predicted model, not a curated record.
ACCCAAUGGCCUAUUAAGGCUGAAACAACGUCACUUACUGCAGAAAGCACCUAUAGAGCACAAUGAAAAAAUUAUCCUUGUUGCAGAGGUCACGGGGAAAAAAAUAUCAGAGUGUUCUGAUCUCCAGAUCCUCAAGGUGAUGUUGGAAACUGAAGAGUGUGGAGGAAAAAAGAACCAAAAAAGUGGUUUGCAAGGAAGACUAAAAAGUUUGCAAGGAAAGGCAGAAUGGCUCUGGAUGUGCAGCAACACUGACCCAGCAACCCAGUGAUGGUGAAGUUGCUGCCACCCUUUCUUUCACUGCUGGGCAAAGGACCCUGGUGUUCUCUGCUUCGGUAUCCUGAAGUUCUCAAAUGCCAGGAGAAUCUACUUGAGGUUUUACCACAUGUCUGCAAGAACUAGUGUAGAAAACUACUUGGAGUAGCAUUCAAGAUUUUUCCUCCCUAAAGACAGCUAACUCUACUGAACUAAAGAUUGUUGCAGCUUUUAAUCACAUUCACAUGGAAGUCCACAUGGAUGCAAAUAACAGGAACAGUAGUGAAAAGGU